RNAcentral lists this ribosomal RNA (253 nucleotides) under uncultured bacterium. RNAcentral's name for it is "partial 16S ribosomal RNA". It matches the Rfam family "Bacterial small subunit ribosomal RNA", at positions 524 to 776 of the family's 1533-position model. The record is from RNAcentral.
UACGUAGGUGACAAGCGUUGUCCGGAUUUACUGAGCGUAAAGAGCGCGCAGGCGGUCGUUCAAGUCGAGUGUGAAAGCCCCCGGCUCAACUGGGGAGGGUCAUUCGAUACUGAUCGACUCGAAGGCAGGAGAGGGUAGUGGAAUUCCCGGUGUAGUGGUGAAAUGCGUAGAUAUCGGGAGGAACACCAGUGGCGAAGGCGACUACCUGGCCUGUUCUUGACGCUGAGGCGCGAAAGCUAGGGGAGCAAACGGG